GCGCAGCUCUGCGCAGAGGAAUGAAGCACAGCGCCUGCUGAUCGAUAUGAGACUGUGGAGUCGGCGACCGCGGGCAGACGCCAAUGAAGACAUCAAUAAAGGGCCCUGCCCCUUCGCUCCGGCUAUGUUUGGCAAGGCUCCACUGCAGAAGCCCUGGGGUGGGGGCCCCUGGCAGGAUUGGGAGGCCCGACCUGGAGAAUGCCGUCUCUGAGGGCCGGGGUCAGUCCCAGCUCAGCAAACUUGUCCCAGGGAACAAGGAACCGGCAGGUGGAGGGGGAACUUUUACACCUGGUCAUGAGAGAGUAUAACAAGUACUGCACAUUCGACGGGUACUGCUCAUCUGGCGGGUACUGCUCAAAGCCCAAGUGGCAGCCUAGGAACCGUGAAUCACAACUGGCAGCUUGUGGCUGCCGGAUGCCGGACUGACAGCAGGACACCAUCUUUGUGGCAUGAAAAUGGGGAGAAGAGGCGGCGGUCAC
Paramormyrops kingsleyae is the source of this 479-nucleotide non-coding RNA. Lineage: Eukaryota; Metazoa; Chordata; Actinopteri; Osteoglossiformes; Mormyridae. The record is from RefSeq and is a predicted model, not a curated record.